Long non-coding RNA from Megalops cyprinoides (Indo-Pacific tarpon), 1246 nucleotides. RefSeq lists it as uncharacterized. The transcript is spliced from 2 exons. NCBI's taxonomy places the organism in Eukaryota, Metazoa, Chordata, Actinopteri, Elopiformes, Megalopidae. The record is from RefSeq and is a predicted model, not a curated record.
AGGAGAGGAGAGCAGGAGGAGGAAUGAGAGAAAGGUGUCACAGAGCGAGAAGAAGAGAGGAGGGGUGGUACCAUCGUGACUGAUGGAGAGAGGGAUUCAAGCCUCAUCUCACACUGGAAGAAGAAACCAGAUGAAACCAAAAACCAGAAAGAGAGAAACAGAACUGACACUGCGGACAGCAGCUGUGCCGGCACACUAAAGACUCCUCAUGUGGUGUGAGCGCGUGCAUGUGUGUGCGCGUGUAUCUGUGCACACGUCUCUGUCUUUCCUGAAAUUUUCUCUCUCUCUUUCUCUCCAUCCCUCUCCAUACCUUCCACCCAGAACAGUAAGAGUUUAUGUGCUGUUUGACUCUGUAUAUCCACCAGCACAUGGCCUCUUACGGUGCAGGGUGAUAGGGCACUGUUAUGCAGAGGUGUCUGUCCCUCUGUCUGUCCACCAAGGCUGCCCCCAUGUGUCUGUCCCUCUGUCCCUCUGUCCGUCUGUCCAUUUGUCUGUUUAUGUCUACCCUGGUUACACCUCUACACCAUCUACAUAAAUCAAACAUCUCCUCCUAACUGCACCAACACACAACACUCCUCAGCAUGCUUCUCAGAUGUAUGCUACAUUCUCGGAGGUAUGAAUAUGCAAGCGGUUAUUACUGGGUUCUGAAUGAAUAAUUUAAUACCAUUCUGAGCACUCAUGGAGGGGUGGUGAAUGCAGGGUCACCAAAUUCCAACAGUUACAUUGUAAACACAGUGUUCUUUUUAAAUGAUUUAUUCUGCUGCAGUUAAAACAAUAUUUAAAGCGUGAAAGCGCUCCCCUAUUUAGUCCACUGUAGUACACCACUGUUACUGUGGCACACUUAAACCAACAAAAUAACAAACAACAAAAAAACAAUUUUCACAUUAUUAAAUAUUACAUAGUAGCCACUUUAGUCUCAGGGGGUUUAAAAUGUAUCCCAUAAAUACGCCAAGCCUAAAAUCAAUGCAUAUUGUGCUAUAUAUAACAUCUUGUAUUCUAGUCCUUUUAUUAUUUUAUUUUCAGUAACUAAAAAUGUUUUCAAUGUUAACAAAUGUUUCUUUCGCUUUUUAGGGAGAGAGAUAUAAUAGUCAUUGGAAAACACUGAAUACAUUUAAUCUGUUGCAUAGUAUUUAGCAUCUGUUGCAUAUUUAAUGGAAUUUAUAUGACCAGUCAUCCAACAAUAUACAAUUAAUUUUUAUUACACUGUGAUACUUUUUUUAUAUCCAGAUGAUUCUUCAAAUGGAAA